RNAcentral lists this ribosomal RNA (253 nucleotides) under uncultured bacterium. Its description in RNAcentral is "partial 16S ribosomal RNA". It matches the Rfam family "Bacterial small subunit ribosomal RNA", at positions 524 to 776 of the family's 1533-position model. The record is from RNAcentral.
UACGUAGGGUGCGAGCGUUAAUCGGAAUUACUGGGCGUAAAGCGUGCGCAGGCGGUUCGUUAAGUCAGAUGUGAAAUCCCCGGGCUCAACCUGGGAACUGCAUUUGUGACUGCACAGCUGGAGUGCGGCAGAGGGGGAUGGAAUUCCGCGUGUAGCAGUGAAAUGCGUAGAUAUGCGGAGGAACACCGAUGGCGAAGGCAAUCCCCUGGGCCUGCACUGACGCUCAUGCACGAAAGCGUGGGGAGCAAACAGG